Molecule: long non-coding RNA, 327 nt
Organism: Macadamia integrifolia
Lineage: Eukaryota; Viridiplantae; Streptophyta; Magnoliopsida; Proteales; Proteaceae
Exons: 4
Source: RefSeq, a predicted model, not a curated record
CAGACUGUGAAGUCCGACCGAGGUUCUCCCUGAAACAAAGCGACGGGUGAAGCAACAGAUGCUCGCAUCUGAGAAGAACACCUAAAAUCGAGUUGAUUGAAGGUUGUAAACUUCAUAUCUAGGGUUUACCCUAUUUCCAAAUCAGACGAUCGACUCCAAGGUUUGAAGAACUAGAAUCGAAGCUUGAUUUAAGUUUUGAUGUGAUGGAACCAACAGGAGAUUCUAAUAGUAGGUCACGGGACAUUGCUUCAUGGCCUAGCGCCGUUUCUCAUUACAUGUUGGAGUGUGUAUUGAAGCAGUACAAGAGUGGUAAGGGUGGAGAUAAUG